GACUCCUGUCAUUAGGUGGUGUCACGAGCGCUUUUACCUGUCUGGAGGGGAAUCUACUGAGAAGAGAGAAGUACUGAAGGCAGACUUUUUGAAACCUGAACAAUUUGGUGUGAUUGAGUCAAGAGAAACUGAGUAUGAAAUCACCAGCUUUCAAGGAUCUGUUAAUCUGGACUGCUGCUGAUGGAUGGAGAGCAUCCUGUCGUCAUGGAAACAGUUUAAUUUGUCCAGCAUCUGGAUUGGAUUCGGAUUCUGUGGCCAAUCCCGAGCCGGACCGAGGGAGGACCUGCGCCCGCUCUGCGCGACCUGUGGCCUUCACCCAGAUCAAACACUGAUGCUCUUUGGCUGAUUUCCCACCGAUAAUGACAACUUUAUGCUUUUGCGUGAGAAUAGAGUGAUGUAAAUCCAAUCAUGUGCCUGCUAACGUCUAGGAAAUCUUCUUUAUACACAUUUAGCUCAGUUAGAGGAGAUUUCUGUCUUCUACAGUGCAGUAUAUUCUACACUCAUCUCUUCUAUAUUUAUAACGCUCUAUUUAGCGAUUCUGAUACUUAUUUCCAAAACCAGUGGUUCUCAACUGGUCACGAUCCAUAAAUGUAUUGUACAUAUGUUUUUUAAGUCAUGGACGGUGAGGAAAACAAUGCUUGAUGCAGGUAAUGAAAUGCACACAAUCCAGUAUAGACAGAUUGUAUGUGAUGCUCUCAACGAUGAAUAAAAAUAUACA
This is a long non-coding RNA of Cyprinus carpio (common carp), 718 nucleotides long. RefSeq lists it as uncharacterized. The record is from RefSeq and is a predicted model, not a curated record. NCBI's taxonomy places the organism in Eukaryota, Metazoa, Chordata, Actinopteri, Cypriniformes, Cyprinidae. The transcript is spliced from 3 exons.